UACAGAGGUCCCAAGCGUUGUUCGGAUUCACUGGGCGUAAAGGGUGCGUAGGUGGCCAGGUAAGUUCGGUGUGAAAGCUCGGAGCUUAACUCCGAAAUGGCAUUGAAUACUAUCUGGCUAGAGGGUCGGAGGGGAGACUGGAAUUCUCGGUGUAGCAGUGAAAUGCGUAGAUAUCGAGAGGAACACCUGCGGCGAAGGCGGGUUGCUGGGCUGAUACUGACGCUGAGGCGCGAAAGCCAGGGGAGCGAACGGG
Molecule: ribosomal RNA, 253 nt
Filed under: uncultured bacterium
Lineage: Bacteria
Description: partial 16S ribosomal RNA
Rfam family: Bacterial small subunit ribosomal RNA
Source: RNAcentral